GGUAACAUUGUCGAGAGUAACAUUGACGGAUAUCUCGAGAGUUCCGUGGUUCAAUGGGCUUAUACUAUUGUGCCCUAGCUGAGUUACUCUCAUUGUUUAUUUCAUUCACAAUCAGUUUAUAUUCAAUUUAAUAAUAUUAAAAAAAAAAACUUGAAUCCCAAAGUCUGUUCCAUUGUUACUCAAUUAAUGUCGACAUUCACCUGAAAUUUUAUAUGUACAGUAUGUACUUUGUUGACAAAUUAUCCUUGCACUGAAUUACGGAAUUGAUCAUGAAUGUAAAUUGUGUGCCUCUAGUUAUUUUCUGAUAUGUUUUUUUUUUUCAUUUUUUUUUUGGUAAAAGGUUAAGUUUUAUACCAUUUUUGAUUUUGGACAGAAUUACAGAGAUUACAUGAAACAGAUUAAAACAAUCUACAGAAGAUAAAUACAAUAUUACUACUCAAAUUGUUUUGGAUCGCUUCUAAGCGUUCAAGACCAAGUUACGAGAUGAAACACCGAUUCCGAGCUCGCAAAACUUAGAAAUUUGCGUGGUUGCCACAGAGCCGAAGCACUGGAAUCCUCAUCUUAGUUGCCACGAGCUAAACUAUUCGAGGGCCGUCCACAAAACCUCGAUAUAGAAGCCUACAACUUCUCCACAAAACCUCGAUAUAGAAGUCCACAAAACCACGAGCUAAACUAUCUGAUUUCUGAUAUGGUUUUGGUCUGUUUGAUUUCACACAACACAAAUCAAACAUCAGCACAACCAUAGAUUAUAGUAUUAAGUUUGUUU
RNAcentral lists this small RNA (766 nucleotides) under Arabidopsis thaliana (thale cress). Its description in RNAcentral is "ATSL135990". Lineage: Eukaryota; Viridiplantae; Streptophyta; Magnoliopsida; Brassicales; Brassicaceae. The record is from RNAcentral.